UUGCUAUCUGCGAUAUAAAAGAUUCGAACCUGCAGCAGGUUCGGGUCGAACGCAGUGAGACAACGGAGCCGCCUGCGGCGACGGCCCGAAGGGCGAGGCGAAGCCGAGUCAUCCUGCACGACCCACCA
RNAcentral lists this small RNA (128 nucleotides) under Phytobacter diazotrophicus. RNAcentral's name for it is "RtT sRNA". It matches the Rfam family "RtT RNA". From Rfam's summary of the family: This family represents a bacterial cis-regulatory element known as RtT RNA. Lineage: Bacteria; Pseudomonadati; Pseudomonadota; Gammaproteobacteria; Enterobacterales; Enterobacteriaceae. RNAcentral also lists the same sequence under 2 other names. The record is from RNAcentral.